RNAcentral lists this ribosomal RNA (499 nucleotides) under uncultured bacterium. RNAcentral describes it as "bacterial SSU rRNA". It matches the Rfam family "Bacterial small subunit ribosomal RNA", at positions 28 to 509 of the family's 1533-position model. The record is from RNAcentral.
GAUGAACGCUAGCGGCAGGCUUAAUACAUGCAAGUUGAGGGGCAGCAUGAUAUACGCGAGUAUAUUGAUGGCGACCGGCGGACGGGUGAGUAAUAGGUAGGAGACCUACCUCAUACAGGGGGAUAGCAUAGAGAAAUCUGUGGUAAUACCCCAUGAGGUUAUAUGAAUAGAGGCAUAUAAAUCAAAAGCAUAAGUGAUUAUGCGGUAUGAGAGGGGCCUACUGACCAUUAGCUAGUUGGUGAGGUAAGGGCUCACCAAGGCGAAGAUGGUUAGGGGUUUUGAGAGAGAGACCCCCCACAUUGGAACUGAGAGACGGUCCAGACUCCUACGGGAGGCAGCAGUAGGGAAUAUUGGGCAAUGGGCGAAAGCCUGACCCAGCCAUGCCGCGUGAAGGAAGACGGCCUUAUGGGUUGUAAACUUCUUUACUACGAAUAGAGGUUAGUACGAGAUACUAAUAGGAAGGUAGUGUAGUAAAAAAGAACCCGGCUAACUACCGUUC